Molecule: ribosomal RNA, 492 nt
Filed under: uncultured bacterium
Lineage: Bacteria
Description: bacterial SSU rRNA
Rfam family: Bacterial small subunit ribosomal RNA
Source: RNAcentral
GAUGAACGCUAGCGGCAGGCUUAAUACAUGCAAGUCGUGGGGCAGCAGGUUUGUAGCAAUACAGAUGCUGGCGACCGGCAAACGGGUGCGGAACACGUACAGAAUCUUCCUUUGAGCGGGGAAUAGCCCAGAGAAAUUUGGAUUAAUACCCCAUAGUAUAAUGAAGUGGCAUCACUUUAUUAUUAAAGAUUUAUCACUCGAAGAUGGCUGUGCGGCUGAUUAGGUAGUUGGCGGGGUAAAGGCCCACCAAGCCUGCGAUCAGUAACUGGUGUGAGAGCACGACCAGUCACACGGGCACUGAGACACGGGCCCGACUCCUACGGGAGGCAGCAGUAAGGAAUAUUGGUCAAUGGAGGCAACUCUGAACCAGCCAUGCCGCGUGGAGGAUGAAGGUCCUCUGGAUUGUAAACUUCUUUUAUAUGGGACGAAAAAAGGCUUUUCUAAGUCGUCUGACGGUACCAUAUGAAUAAGCACCGGCUAACUCCGUGCCAG